AGAAUACACGGCAUUAGAGGCUCGAAGAAUAUGAUAUUUUUCCGGAGAUCAGAACUGUGCUUCUUUUGGUUGCACAAUUCUUCAUCUAACAUGUGUAACUUUAUGCACAACAGAGGAAAACAGAAAGUUCUUGUCCAAAAAACUGAUAAGUCGGACAGCAUUUCAAAUAACCCAAAUGUCAAAUUCUUUAGGAUGGACCUACAGAAUUGUUCUCGGGUCAUCAAGCUA
Hibiscus syriacus is the source of this 228-nucleotide long non-coding RNA. RefSeq lists it as uncharacterized. Lineage: Eukaryota; Viridiplantae; Streptophyta; Magnoliopsida; Malvales; Malvaceae. The record is from RefSeq and is a predicted model, not a curated record. The transcript has 3 exons.